Molecule: unclassified non-coding RNA, 240 nt
Filed under: soil metagenome
Description: partial contains 5.8S ribosomal RNA, internal transcribed spacer 2, and large subunit ribosomal RNA
Source: RNAcentral
AACCAUAGAAACCUGCGGAGUACCUGCGGAAGGAUCAUUACAGAGUUGCAAAACUCCCACAAACCAUCGCGAAUCUUACCCGUACGGUUGCCUCGGCGCUGGCGGUCCGGAAGGCCCUCGGGCCCCCGGACCCUCGGGUCUCCCGCUCGCGGGAGGCUGCCCGCCGGAGUGCCGAAACCAAACUCUUGAUAUUUUAUGUCUCUCUGAGUAAACUUUUAAAUAAGUCAAAACUUUCAGCAA